This 211-nucleotide unclassified non-coding RNA is filed under the name plant metagenome. Its description in RNAcentral is "partial contains 5.8S ribosomal RNA, internal transcribed spacer 2, and large subunit ribosomal RNA". The record is from RNAcentral.
CACCGCCGCCUACUGGGUCCACCACGCCGCCAGCGGGUCGUACCACGGCCGCACACCACGAGCCGAUGAAGCGGGAGUCACGGCUGCGGCGGCGGACGCUGAUUCGCAGCAGCAGGCACUGAUGCCGGCCGCCGCCGGUCAGGCUCCCGACAUGGUCGCUCGGUAUCAUGUGGUCGGCCGUAAGCAGGACGCGGCGGACCUCUUCAAGGGC